RNAcentral lists this ribosomal RNA (429 nucleotides) under Gemmatimonadota bacterium. RNAcentral describes it as "Gemmatimonadetes bacterium partial 16S ribosomal RNA". It matches the Rfam family "Bacterial small subunit ribosomal RNA", at positions 355 to 776 of the family's 1533-position model. Lineage: Bacteria; Pseudomonadati; Gemmatimonadota. The record is from RNAcentral.
UAGGGAAUCUUCGGCAAUGGACGAAAGUCUGACCGAGCAACGCCGCGCGAGUGAAGAAGGCUUUCGGAUCGUAAAACUCUGUUGUUAGAGAAGAACAAGGACGUUAGUAACUGAACGUCCCCUGACGGUAUCUAACCAGAAAGCCACGGCUAACUACGUGCCAGCAGCCGCGGUAAUACGUAGGUUGCAAGCGUUGUCCGGAUUUAUUGGGCGUAAAGCGAGCGCAGGCGGUUUCUUAAGUCUGAUGUGAAAGCCCCCGGCUCAACCGGGGAGGGUCAUUGGAAACUGGGAGACUUGAGUGCAGAAGAGGAGGGUGGAAUUCCAUGUGUAGCGGUGAAAUGCGUGGAUAUAUGGAGGAACACCAGUGGCGAAGGCGGCUCUCUGGUCUGUAACUGACGCUGAGGCUCGAAAGCGUGGGGGGCAAACAGG